GUUAAGAGACUACAACUCCCAGCAAGCCAGGCGAGGGCCCCCGCCCCCUCCGCGCACCGCCGGCGGCCCCGCCCCGCGAAGCCUAGCACUCUCCCUAAACCUCUCUCGCACGCGGGGAUUGAGCACGGCCCGAAAAGCCGAGGACAACCGGACUCACCCUGUAGUUAUAGUAGUGCGUCUGCACAAGAUGCCAGUGGCGCGACUUGUGGUUGCCGAAGUUGGAUUUCUCGCAAACCACAGGCUAACAUGGGCUUGUUCUCAUGGAGAUGAAAGCAUUCUGAAAGAAAAAGCAGAAGCAUUCAAGAUCUUUUGAGCCUAACCCUGAAACUGGCACACUGUCAUACUCUCUGCAUUCUGCUGGCCAGAGGAAAUAAGGCCAGCCCAGAUACAAGACUUGGGGAAACAAAUUCUGUCUGUUUAUGGGAGCAGCUAUAAAAUCUCAUUGCAAAGGUCAUAGAUAGGGAAGUAUGAAGAAUUGUUCUUAUUUUUUCAAUCAGUAUCAUUAUGCCUUUUCUUGCAGAUGAGGUUUACCUAAUUGUUCCAAAUCAAAUUCAAAACCUUGAAGUUACUAAGUGACUAGGUUGUAACUCAGUAGUAUCAACUAUACUUGACUCCAAAGCCCAGACACCUCUAUAGACCACAGUACUCAUACAUCUCCCCUAUUCCUUCAAGAUUCUGGAGAGUGACACUUCUGUAAAUGCCCAUCUAGGGCUCUUCACUUAUACCCAUUGGGUAUAAUUCCCUCCAGAGAAAGCUGAACUGUCUUGGAAGAACUUAAAAUAAAUUAGGGAAACAGCUGAGGGCUGAGUUUAGAAAUCAAGGCUCCAGCAAUAUAUUUUUUAUUUCUAAUUAUAGGGGAAAUUUGAAAACACAUAUAGUGCACUCCAUAUGUUUGCAAAUUCUUUUCGUCCAUUUUUAGUAUUUGUAGGCUAUUUAUGAUUUUCAAAGCAAGCUAAAUCAAACGGUGCCUGAAACAACCUCUUACUCUGAAAAGCAGGCAACAUAAAGAUAGAUCUGCUGAGAAGACAUUUCCACCUGCUGCAAUUUAGACAAACAGCUGACUGUGUAUUGAAGCAGUCCUUUGAUUUUCACAGGGCAAAGCUGUUUCCAAGACCCCAAACUGAGGAACUGCCAUGGGGCACACAUGGAAAUCACACACAGCUAAUGCAUCCCUCACUCUGAACCAGUGGUCCAUAUCCAUGGCUGCACGUUAAAAUCACCUGGGGAGCUUUUAAAAUUCCCAAAACCCAAGUUACAAGAGACCUAUUAAAUUGGAUUCCCUGGAGUGGGACCCAGGCAACGGUGUCGUUUAAAGCUCUCUAUGUGGUUAUAUUGUGUGGUCAAGGCUGAAAAGCCACUGCUUUAAACCAGCAUCUUUUGAUGAACUAGUUGCAAAUAAUUUCUCAAAUAAAUGUAAAAUGUUCGCUGCUGAAUUGUAGGCUUUCAGUCUUAUCUGUGGUACCUACUUACUGUCUUUGUACAAACCUACCUCUGCUGCUUGUUUUGUUCCUGGUUCAACUCAGUUCCAUGGGUAUUGAGGGCAUUUUACAUGCAGAAGAGUGUGGCAGGUGCCAUGGCCUUGGUGAGCAUCAUUGUUGGGGAAGGACUUUGCUGGGGGGAAAAAAAAUUGUAUUAUAAAAACUCAAAACUAUGCCAUUUACCAAACUGAGGCAAAAAUACAAAUAUCUGGGUGGUCACCUGAGAAAACAUGAAUAGAUACCUUGGAAUUUUAA
Long non-coding RNA from Chlorocebus sabaeus (green monkey), 1733 nucleotides. RefSeq lists it as uncharacterized. NCBI's taxonomy places the organism in Eukaryota, Metazoa, Chordata, Mammalia, Primates, Cercopithecidae. The record is from RefSeq and is a predicted model, not a curated record.